This 301-nucleotide ribosomal RNA is filed under the name uncultured bacterium. RNAcentral describes it as "partial 16S ribosomal RNA". It matches the Rfam family "Bacterial small subunit ribosomal RNA", at positions 509 to 807 of the family's 1533-position model. The record is from RNAcentral.
CAGCAGCCGCGGUAAUACGUAGGUGGCAAGCGUUGUCCGGAAUUAUUGGGCGUAAAGGGCUCGCAGGCGGUUUCUUAAGUCUGAUGUGAAAGCCCCCGGCUCAACCGGGGAGGGUCAUUGGAAACUGGGAGACUUGAGUGCAGAAGAGGAGAGUGGAAUUCCACGUGUAGCGGUGAAAUGCGUAGAGAUGUGGAGGAACACCAGUGGCGAAGGCGACUCUCUGGUCUGUAACUGACGCUGAGGAGCGAAAGCGUGGGGAGCGAACAGGAUUAGAUACCCCUGUAGUCCCUGUCUCUUAUAC